Molecule: microRNA, 21 nt
Filed under: Ornithorhynchus anatinus (platypus)
Lineage: Eukaryota; Metazoa; Chordata; Mammalia; Monotremata; Ornithorhynchidae
Description: oan-miR-449b-5p
Gene: oan-miR-449b-5p
Source: miRBase by way of RNAcentral
AGGCAGUGUGAUGUUUGCUGG